RNAcentral lists this long non-coding RNA (1133 nucleotides) under Felis catus (domestic cat). RNAcentral describes it as "lncRNA (ENSFCAG00000051222.1)". Lineage: Eukaryota; Metazoa; Chordata; Mammalia; Carnivora; Felidae. The record is from RNAcentral.
CCAGAGAGGAUGCAAAGCAAAAGAACAAAUAGGAAAGCAUAGCAUGUAUGAAGACAAGGAAGGAGAAGCCAGCACAGUGAUGAGUUUAUUAUGCCUUGUCCUAGCAGACACAGAUGACAGCCCAGAGAUCCACCAGGUAUGGCCUGUGAGAUCAGGGGUGAGAGGUGGGAGGCAAGGUGGGAAUGCAUCUACUCAGCCAACAACAUGCAAGGUGCUGGGUGAUAGAGAUGCCAAGCACAGUGGGUUCAAGGUGCAGUACAGAAGACUGUCUCUAUGCAAUGAAGGUAUCAUGCUACCCAGGGACUGGCCUGUUACGCCAUUGGCUUCAGUUAACUCAUCUGUCAAAUGAGGAGUUUGGACACCAUUAUUAUCGCUAAGGCUUCUGCGAACAAGCAAAUAUGCAAGGUAAACACAGUUUCGGUUAACAUUUGCCAUUGUCAGACCUUCCUGUUUUUUAGCCCCAUUUGGAAAGGCUCCAUUGGGGUGCAAAACUAAUAAGCAUUUGGAUUGAAAAACUGUAGAAACAGCUAGCAGCCUCUAACCGGGCAACUGAAGUAGGCGUCGAGUAUGCUGGGGGACGGUCUGGGCAACAGAUUCUGAGGAAUACGAUCACCGUUCCUGGGGACCCGCCAGCAGAUGCCUCGGGGCCAGCAGAUGGCCAGGACAUCCCUUCCUGUCUGCGUCCCCGCGGGCCCAGCGACCGCCCGGGAUUCCACCCCCACUCCCUGCGGUUUGGUCUCAAGUGAGCAUAGAUCUGGCGCGUGCUCUGAGCAGCUAAGACCUUCUUCCGCCGCCAGCCAGCCGGAGGAGGGGGAGGCGGGGCUACCCGGGAAGGCUCGGCGCAGCCCCCUCCCUCCGAUAGUGAUCUCCUAAGGCCGAUUUCGGGGUGAGGUCACCGCUGCGGAGACCUCCAAGGGACUGAGGCGCUGUUUGAAGCCUCUCAGGCCUAACCAGAGCUCUAAAUAGGAGGGCAUUUAAUUGGCCUUGUAAUUUCCGAUCGAUUCCCGAAAUCAACACUCAGGGCGAGAUGGGUGCAGACGCCACAACCCCGGACCGCGCCCCCACCCCCCAGCAGAAGGCGGGGGUCCCGCCAGCCUCCACGAGCUGACCUCUCCCGGCCCAGAGAAUCGCGG